Molecule: ribosomal RNA, 481 nt
Filed under: uncultured bacterium
Lineage: Bacteria
Description: partial 16S ribosomal RNA
Rfam family: Bacterial small subunit ribosomal RNA
Source: RNAcentral
GAUGAACGCUGGCGGCGUGCUUAACACAUGCAAGUCAAACGAAGCACUUUAUUUGAUUUCCUUCGGGACUGAUUAUUUUGUGACUGAGUGGCGGACGGGUGAGUAACGCGUGGGUAACCUGCCUUGUACAGGGGGAUAACAGUUGGAAACGGCUGCUAAUACCGCAUAAGCGCCCAGCAUCGCAUGAUGCAGUGUGAAAAACUCCGGUGGUAUAAGAUGGACCCGCGUUGGAUUAGCUAGUUGGUGAGGUAACGGCCCACCAAGGCGACGAUCCAUAGCCGAACUGAGAGGGUGACCGGCCACAUUGGGACUGAGACACGGCCCAAACUCCUACGGGAGGCAGCAGUGGGGAAUAUUGCACAAUGGGCGAAAGCCUGAUGCAGCGACGCCGCGUGAGCGAAGAAGUAUUUCGGUAUGUAAAGCUCUAUCAGCAGGGAAGAUAAUGACGGUACCUGACUAAGAAGCACCGGCUAAAUACGUG